This 107-nucleotide non-coding RNA is filed under the name Bacillus sp. (in: firmicutes). RNAcentral's name for it is "Bacillus sp. Glycine sequence". It matches the Rfam family "Glycine riboswitch aptamer". Rfam says of the family: This family represents the bacterial glycine riboswitch. Glycine riboswitches usually consist of two metabolite-binding aptamers domains with similar structures in tandem. The aptamers cooperatively bind glycine to regulate the expression of downstream genes. The record is from RNAcentral. Lineage: Bacteria; Bacillati; Bacillota; Bacilli; Caryophanales; Bacillaceae.
AUGACAAUCACGGGAGAGACUAAACCGUUGGGUUUGGCACCGAAGGAGCAAGUCCCAAAAAAUUCCUUGGGAUAUAAUCUCUCAGGUAAAAGUACCGUGCUUGGACG